AAGCUUUCCAUCUUCAUCAUGGCCGAGACCUCUCUCCUUCUCAUCCUUCUUUUUACUUACGGCACUGGUACUUUUGCCCAGUUCGUAUUGACUCAGCCGCCUUCUUCAUCGGCAUCACCUGGAGAAACCGUGAAGAUCCUCUGUACCAGGAGCAGUGGAGGUAUUAGAGACAGCUAUGUAUCCUGGUACCAACAGAAGCCCGGCACUGCUCCCAAACUACUGAUAUAUCAGUUCAGCAACAGAUACUCGGGAAUCUCAGACCGCUUCUCCGGCUCUACGGACACUUCUGCCAAUUCUGCCACUUUAACCAUCUCCGGCGUCCAAGCAGAGGAUGAAAAUGAUUAUUACUGUUUAUCUUAUACUAGUAGCAACCAGUGCACAGUGGUACAACCUCAUGGGGAAGUGAGACAAAAACCUCCUUUUAGGUCACAGUCGGUUGACUGA
Gekko japonicus is the source of this 444-nucleotide non-coding RNA. The record is from the annotation of a RefSeq genome assembly. NCBI's taxonomy places the organism in Eukaryota, Metazoa, Chordata, Lepidosauria, Squamata, Gekkonidae.